Molecule: long non-coding RNA, 2358 nt
Organism: Danaus plexippus (monarch butterfly)
Lineage: Eukaryota; Metazoa; Arthropoda; Insecta; Lepidoptera; Nymphalidae
Exons: 2
Source: RefSeq, a predicted model, not a curated record
CAACAUCAUAUUGUAGAGGUAAAUGAAUCGUUCACUGAUAAACAGUCUUUCAAGCACUUUAAAUCUUAGAUACCGGUACCACAUUGACUACCUUCUUACAAUCGAGUCAAAACAGGAUAUAAAUUGUACACAUGUGAAUGUCAUACUUUAAAAACCUAUGAAUAUAAUAGUUACGUGUCUAAUUUUCUAUUAACUUUUAUGUUAUUUGUAUUGAAUGAUUCGCUUCCCCGUUUCAUUAGCCAGCAAGCGUUUGUCCAAAACGUCCUUACGUUUUCACAAUGAAGGCUGGUAUUUGCUUACCUUUCAUUGCAUUUAUAGCAAUUUGUAAUGGAGAUAUGCCACAUUAAGAUAUUAAUAAUGCUCCUGAAUUAUUCGAGUUGUUUAUGAAGAAUUACAAUCGUCACUACAAGAACGAGGCUGACAAAGAAGUUCAUUAUCUAGCUUUUGUUGAAACUUUGAAAGUUAUCAACAGACGGAAUGCGUUACCCCAUAGCGAUACACAUGACAUUAACAAAUUUUCUGACUACACGCCGGAAGAACUGAAAAAAAUAUAUAUGGCUGUAAUCCUCCAGGUGAGAUAUAUCAAUAUGUGUCGUUAUAAUAGAAACUUCUAGUCUGACUCUGUGAUUAAAAUGUAAGCGUUGUAAAAGAAAAAUAUCUAUCGUUGUUUUACUUUUUAUUUUAAUUAAAAUCACAAAAUAGUUAAAAUUUAUUAAAAGUCUAUAAAUUAAAACAGAUAACGGACAUAAAUCCGAACAAUAAAAAUAAAAAAGGACAUACUUUUUAGAAUUAUCCUUAACGUACCCAUGCUUCUAGUCGAAGAAAGCUGUUGUUUCCAGAUAUAUACAUAUAUUUCUUGUAUCAUUUAUCACAUUAUAAAAUGUUAGGUAAACAAUAGUCUAUCCAACAUAUAUGCGAGUAUUUGGAAUUAGUCGCUAUAUAAUAAAAUAGCGAUUUGUCAAAAAUAUAUAAACUAUUACGAAUACUUCUAAGUAAAUUAAAAAAAAAUGAUUAUAAUAUUAUUUUUUAUUGUUUCUGAUAAUAAUUAAGACACGUUAAAGUAAUCAUAUAUCAUGCUUAUACCUAGGAAUACGUUCAAAUCAAUUAUAAUUUUUGCAUAUUGAGAAAGCAUUCUGAUAAAUACUGUUUUGAUUUUUUUUUGUCUUAAAUUAAGAUAAGCUACUUGAAAAAAAAUAUAAACAAACUAUAUUUUAGGAUUUCUAUACCCAUGUUUAAAAAUAUGCGUAUAUGAACCCAAAAAAGACAAAUGUGGUUACGAAAUCGAAAUAGUCACACUAUCAACAAAAUUGGUACUUAAUAUUUCCAAAAUGUAUGUUAAUAAAAACUUUAAUAUUUCGGAAUCUUGAGCCUUCUUACAUGAUUCGAACCCUACUUUGUUAUUUUGUGCUCCAAUACGUAAUUAAUUAUUGCUACAAUAUUAACGUAUUUAUCUUCUAGAGUCGAUAGAGUUCUUAAAAUAUCAUAUAUCUUGGUCCUUGCCACACGCUGGGUUUUUCAUACAGAACCUUUAUUUCCUUGUAAAGUUUUGACUCUAAGAAGAUCUAUGAACUAUUCAUGAUGGCCAAACAUACAGCAUGUGAUUAACUGCUGUUUUGAUUUAUAGUUAUUUAAAAAAAUACAUAAAAUAUAAAAUUACAAAGUAGUCAAACUGCGGGUGGUUAGGUUAUUAACCGAACUUUGUAAAUUCCUUGAUAAAAUAGCAAAUGAUACAAAUAAAUAGCUGUGAAAAUAAUAGCUACGUGACUAAUAUAUUAUUACCUAUUAUGUUAUCUGUAUUGUGGCUAUAUAAGAGAGUGAUUUGCUUCCCAGUCUCAUAAGCUAGCUCUCGUCUGUCCACAACAUACCUACGUUUUCAUAAUGAAGGCCGUUAUUUGUUUAUUUUUCAUCGCACUUAUUGCAAUUUCUAAUGGAGACAAGCCACAUUACGAUAUUAAUAAAGCUCCUGAAUUAUUCGAGUUGUUUAUGAAGAAUUACAAUCGUCACUACAAGAACGAGGCUGACAAAGAAGCUCAUUACCAGGCAUUUGUUGAAAAUCUGAAAACUAUCAACAGACUGAAUGCGUUACCCCAUAGCGCUACACAUGACAUUAACAAAUUUUCUGACUACACGCCGGAAGAACUGAAACAAAUUCAUGGUUUAUUAUCAUGAGAUAACAAUUAGUGUACAUAAACGCUGAUUUUGUUUUAAAACAUUGGACAAGUUGAAAUCGGUCAUCAUUAUGACAACCGUCUUAUCAUGCCAAUAAAACUGUUCUCAAAUUUUUGUUUCAUUAACUAACAAUUUUAAUGAAAGUUAAUUUUUGUAUAAAUAAAGCAUGUGAGCUUAUUUCCACUUCAA